UACGUAGGGGGCUAGCGUCGUCCGGAAUCAUUGGGCGUAAAGAGCGUGUAGGCGGCCCGGUAAGUCCGCUGUAAAAGUCAAAGGCUCAACCUUUGAAUGUCAGUGGAUACUGCCGGGCUAGAGUCCGGAAGAGGCGAGUGGAACUCCUGGUGUAGCGGUGGAAUGCGCAGAUAUCAGGAAGAACACCAACGGCGAAGGCAGCUCGCUGGGACGGUACUGACGCUGAGACGCGAAAGCGUGGGGAGCGAACAGG
RNAcentral lists this ribosomal RNA (253 nucleotides) under uncultured bacterium. RNAcentral's name for it is "partial 16S ribosomal RNA". It matches the Rfam family "Bacterial small subunit ribosomal RNA", at positions 524 to 776 of the family's 1533-position model. The record is from RNAcentral.